ACGUAGGUCACAAGCGUUGUCCGGAAUUACUGGGUGUAAAGGGAGCGCAGGCGGGAGAACAAGUUGGAAGUGAAAUCCAUGGGCUCAACCCAUGAACUGCUUUCAAAACUGUUUUUCUUGAGUAGUGCAGAGGUAGGCGGAAUUCCCGGUGUAGUGGUGGAAUGCGUAGAUAUCGGGAGGAACACCAGUGGCGAAGGCGGCCUACUGGGCACCAACUGACGCUGAGGCUCGAAAGUGUGGGUAGCAAACAG
RNAcentral lists this ribosomal RNA (251 nucleotides) under uncultured bacterium. RNAcentral's name for it is "partial 16S ribosomal RNA". It matches the Rfam family "Bacterial small subunit ribosomal RNA", at positions 525 to 775 of the family's 1533-position model. The record is from RNAcentral.